Molecule: ribosomal RNA, 1009 nt
Filed under: Halogeometricum sp. IARI-WRAB3
Lineage: Archaea; Methanobacteriati; Methanobacteriota; Halobacteria; Halobacteriales; Haloferacaceae
Also listed under: 1 other name
Description: bacterial SSU rRNA
Rfam family: Archaeal small subunit ribosomal RNA
Source: RNAcentral
AUUCCGGUUGAUCCUGCCGGAGGCCAUUGCUAUCGGAGUCCGAUUUAGCCAUGCUAGUUGCGCGAGUUCAGACUCGCAGCAGAUAGCUCAGUAACACGUGGUCAAGCUACCCUGCAGACACGGACAACCUCGGGAAACUGAGGCUAAUCCGCGAUACCGAUCCCACGCUGGAAUGCCGGGAUCUACAAACGCUCCGGCGCUGCAGGAUGCGGCUGCGGCCGAUUAGGUAGACGGUGGGGUAACGGCCCACCGUGCCGAUAAUCGGUACGGGUUGUGAGAGCAAGAGCCCGGAGACGGAAUCUGAGACAAGAUUCCGGGCCCUACGGGGCGCAGCAGGCGCGAAACCUUUACACUGCACGCAAGUGCGAUAAGGGGACUCCGAGUGCGAGGGCAUAUAGUCCUCGCUUUUGAGAACCGUAAGGUGGUUCUCGAAUAAGAGCUGGGCAAGACCGGUGCCAGCCGCCGCGGUAAUACCGGCAGCUCAAGUGAUGGCCAAUCUUAUUGGGCCUAAAGCGUCCGUAGCUGGCCGUGAAAGUUCGUCGGGAAAUCCAUCCGCUCAACGGAUGGGCGUCCGGCGAAAACUUCACGGCUUGGGACCGGAAGGCUCGAGGGGUACGUCCGGGGUAGGAGUGAAAUCCUGUAAUCCUGGACGGACCGCCGAUGGCGAAAGCACCUCGAGAAGACGGAUCCGACAGUGAGGGACGAAAGCUAGGGUCUCGAACCGGAUUAGAUACCCGGGUAGUCCUAGCCGUAAACGAUGUUCACUAGGUGUGGCACAGGCUACGAGCCUGUGCUGUGCCGUAGGGAAGCCGAGAAGUGAACCGCCUGGGAAGUACGUCCGCAAGGAUGAAACUUAAAGGAAUUGGCGGGGGAGCACUACAACCGGAGGAGCCUGCGGUUUAAUUGGACUCAACGCCGGACAUCUCACCAGCUCCGACUACAGUAAUGACGGUCAGGUUGAUGACCUUACCACGAGCUGUAGAGAGGAGGUGCAUGGCCGCCGUCAGCU